RNAcentral lists this ribosomal RNA (238 nucleotides) under uncultured bacterium. RNAcentral's name for it is "partial 16S ribosomal RNA". It matches the Rfam family "Bacterial small subunit ribosomal RNA", at positions 81 to 334 of the family's 1533-position model. The record is from RNAcentral.
AGUUUUUAACUCAAGUGGCGGACGGGUGAGUAACACGUAAGAAUUUGCCCUUAGGAGGGGGAUAACAACUGGAAACGGUUGCUAAUACCCCAUAUGCUUUCGAGUGAAAUGGAUUUUUCCGCCUAGAGAGAAGCUUGCGGCUGAUUAGCUUGUUGGUAAGGUAAUGGCUUACCAAGGCGACGAUCAGUAUCUGGUUUGAGAGGAUGAUCAGACACACUGGAACUGAGACACGGUCCAG